Myotis daubentonii (Daubenton's bat) is the source of this 138-nucleotide small nuclear RNA. RefSeq annotates it as U4 spliceosomal RNA. NCBI's taxonomy places the organism in Eukaryota, Metazoa, Chordata, Mammalia, Chiroptera, Vespertilionidae. The record is from RefSeq and is a predicted model, not a curated record.
AGCUUUGUGCAGUGGCUGUAUCAUAACCAAUGAGGUUUAUCUGAGGUGCGAUUAUUGAUAUUAAAAAUUAUUAGAGUGGACUCACUGCUGUAACAAUUCCAAACUCUUGCUAACAAAGUUCUUCUAUUGGCCCUGUCA